UACGUAGGGUGCAAGCGUUAAUCGGAAUUACUGGGCGUAAAGCGUGCGCAGGCGGUUGUGCAAGACAGAUGUGAAAUCCCCGGGCUUAACCUGGGAACUGCAUUUGUGACUGCACGGCUAGAGUGUGUCAGAGGGGGGUAGAAUUCCACGUGUAGCAGUGAAAUGCGUAGAUAUGUGGAGGAAUACCGAUGGCGAAGGCAGCCCCCUGGGAUAACACUGACGCUCAUGCACGAAAGCGUUGGGAGCAAACAGG
RNAcentral lists this ribosomal RNA (253 nucleotides) under uncultured bacterium. RNAcentral's name for it is "partial 16S ribosomal RNA". It matches the Rfam family "Bacterial small subunit ribosomal RNA", at positions 524 to 776 of the family's 1533-position model. The record is from RNAcentral.